RNAcentral lists this ribosomal RNA (532 nucleotides) under Penicillium spinulosum. RNAcentral's name for it is "eukaryotic LSU rRNA". The stretch from base 158 to 311 matches the Rfam family "5.8S ribosomal RNA". Lineage: Eukaryota; Fungi; Ascomycota; Eurotiomycetes; Eurotiales; Aspergillaceae. The record is from RNAcentral.
CUGGGUCCACCUCCCACCCGUGUUUAUUGUACCUUGUUGCUUCGGUGCGCCCGCCUCACGGCCGCCGGGGGGCUUCUGCCCCCGGGUCCGCGCGCACCGGAGACACCAUUGAACUCUGUCUGAAGAUUGCAGUCUGAGCAUAAACUAAAUAAGUUAAAACUUUCAACAACGGAUCUCUUGGUUCCGGCAUCGAUGAAGAACGCAGCGAAAUGCGAUAACUAAUGUGAAUUGCAGAAUUCAGUGAAUCAUCGAGUCUUUGAACGCACAUUGCGCCCCCUGGUAUUCCGGGGGGCAUGCCUGUCCGAGCGUCAUUGCUGCCCUCAAGCACGGCUUGUGUGUUGGGCUCCGUCCCCCCGGGGACGGGCCCGAAAGGCAGCGGCGGCACCGAGUCCGGUCCUCGAGCGUAUGGGGCUUUGUCACCCGCUCUGUAGGCCCGGCCGGCGCCAGCCGACAACCCAUCAUCCUUUUCAGGUUGACCUCGGAUCAGGUAGGGAUACCCGCUGAACUUAAGCAUAUCAAUAGCCGGAGGAAA